RNAcentral lists this ribosomal RNA (305 nucleotides) under uncultured bacterium. RNAcentral's name for it is "bacterial SSU rRNA". It matches the Rfam family "Bacterial small subunit ribosomal RNA", at positions 334 to 637 of the family's 1533-position model. The record is from RNAcentral.
GUUACCUACGGGACGCAGCAGUGAGGAAUAUUGGUCAAUGGCCGGGAGGCUGAACCAGCCAAGUCGCGUGAGGGAAGACGGCCCUACGGGUUGUAAACCUCUUUUGUCAGGGAGCAAGGUGCAGGUCGGGACCUGCUGUGAGAGUACCUGAAGAAAAAGCAUCGGCUAACUCCGUGCCAGCAGCCGCGGUAAUACGGAGGAUGCGAGCGUUAUCCGGAUUUAUUGGGUUUAAAGGGUGCGCAGGCGGAGGCACAAGUCAGCGGUAAAAUCGCGGCGCUCAACCCCGCUCGGCCGUUUGAACUGUG